RNAcentral lists this ribosomal RNA (497 nucleotides) under uncultured bacterium. RNAcentral's name for it is "partial 16S ribosomal RNA". It matches the Rfam family "Bacterial small subunit ribosomal RNA", at positions 28 to 507 of the family's 1533-position model. The record is from RNAcentral.
GAUGAACGCUGGCGGCGUGCCUAAUACAUGCAAGUCGAGCGAACAGACGAGGAGCUUGCUCCUCUGACGUUAGCGGCGGACGGGUGAGUAACACGUGGAUAACCUACCUAUAAGACUGGGAUAACUUCGGGAACCCGGCGCUAAUACCGGAUAAUAUAUUGAACCGCAAGGUUCAAUAGUGAAAGACGGCUUUGCUGUUACUUAUAGAUGGAUCCGCCCCGCAUUAGCUAGUUGGUAAGGUAACGGCUUACGAAGGGAACGAUGCGUAGACGACCUGAGAGGGUGAUCGGCCACACUGGAAAUGGAACACGGUCCAUGCUCCUACGGGAGGCAGCAGUAGGGAAUCUUCCGCAAUGGGCGAAAACCUGACGGAGCAACGCCGCGUGAGUGAUGAAGGUCUUCGGAUCGUAAAACGCUGUUAUUAGGGAAGAACAAAUGUGUAAGUAACUAUGCACGUCGUGACGGUACCGAAUCAGAAAGCCACGGCUAACUACGUG